UGGGGAAUAUUGCACAAUGGAGGGAACUCUGAUGCAGCGACGCCGCGUGAGUGAUGAAGGACUUCGUUUCGUAAAACUCUGUUCUAUGGGAAGAAAAGGACUGUACCAUAGGAGAAAGCUCCGGCUAAAUACGUGCCAGCAGCCGCGGUAAUACGUAUGGAGCGAGCGUUGUCCGGAAUUAUUGGGCGUAAAGGGUGCGCAGGCGGCUUUACAAGUUGGAUGUGAAAUAUUGUGGCUCAACCACAAACGUGCAUCCAAAACUGCAAAGCUUGGGUUAAGGAGAGGUAAGUGGAAUUCCUGGUGUAGCGGUGGAAUGCGUAGAUAUCAGGAGGAAUACCGGUGGCGAAGGCGACUUACUGGACUUAAACUGACGCUCAGGCACGAAAGCGUGGGGAGCAAACAGG
Molecule: ribosomal RNA, 404 nt
Filed under: Fusobacteriota bacterium
Lineage: Bacteria; Fusobacteriati; Fusobacteriota
Description: Fusobacteria bacterium partial 16S ribosomal RNA
Rfam family: Bacterial small subunit ribosomal RNA
Source: RNAcentral